GGGGUUGUGGCUCAGUGGUGGAGUGCUCGCCUAGCAUGUGUGAGGCCCUGAGUUCAAUCCUCAGUGCCA
RNAcentral lists this transfer RNA (69 nucleotides) under Ictidomys tridecemlineatus (thirteen-lined ground squirrel). Its description in RNAcentral is "Spermophilus tridecemlineatus (thirteen-lined ground squirrel) tRNA". It matches the Rfam family "tRNA". Rfam says of the family: Transfer RNA (tRNA) molecules are approximately 80 nucleotides in length. Their secondary structure includes four short double-helical elements and three loops (D, anti-codon, and T loops). Lineage: Eukaryota; Metazoa; Chordata; Mammalia; Rodentia; Sciuridae. The record is from Rfam by way of RNAcentral.